This 103-nucleotide small nuclear RNA is filed under the name Chinchilla lanigera (long-tailed chinchilla). Lineage: Eukaryota; Metazoa; Chordata; Mammalia; Rodentia; Chinchillidae. The record is from RNAcentral.
AUGCUUUGGCAGCACAUAUACUAAAAUUGGAACAAUACAUAAAAGAUUAGCAUGGCCCCUGUGCAAGGAUGACACACAAAUUCAUGAAGCAUUCUAUACUUUA